CAGAUUGACGGAAGGGCACCAUCAGGUCUGGAUUGUGCGGCUCAAUUGGAUUCAACGCCCGACACCCCACCAGGACAGGAGCGCUCGAUGAAGCACCGGCCGAAUACCUCUGCCGAUGAGCGUGCAGGUGGUGCAUGGCCGCCGUAGUUCGUGAGGUGACUUGUCUGGUUUAUUCCGACAACGAACGCAACCACAUUGCUCUACUAUCCGGCGAGCCCCUAACGGGGUCCGCAAGAAACUGGAGCAGACCAAUCGCACGAUGGGCUCAGCCCAAGGCGAAGGAAGCUUAGGCGAUGGCAGGUCUGUGAUGCCCCUAGAUGCCCUGGAUCGCACGCGCAAUACAAUGGCGACUCAAACGCGCAGGUUCGUCCGAGAGGACUUACAAAUCGCACAAAAAGUC
Molecule: ribosomal RNA, 400 nt
Filed under: uncultured Paramyxida
Lineage: Eukaryota; Endomyxa; Ascetosporea
Description: SSU rRNA
Rfam family: Eukaryotic small subunit ribosomal RNA
Source: RNAcentral